This 817-nucleotide long non-coding RNA is filed under the name Homo sapiens (human). RNAcentral's name for it is "HSALNT0380251". The record is from RNAcentral. Lineage: Eukaryota; Metazoa; Chordata; Mammalia; Primates; Hominidae.
UUCACUUAAUUCUAACAACAGGAACGAGGGUACUGUGGGCUUCAUUUCAGAGAAGAGGAAACUGGGAUUUGGAGCUGAAGUAACUUGACCAAGAGCAGAUGGCAGGCACCCCUGAGCAUGAAAUAUAAAUUUCCCCCUGAGGAUUUAUGCCUUAUGUUUCUAGAGGGACAUAGAGAAGACAGAUAACUUAAAUACUUGGGUUCUGGAUUGGGGUUAUGUCAAACAUGCCACCGAAGAUUCUUGCACACGUUAUGCUGGUGUACAUAUAUGGAAGUGUCUUAAAUUUUGCUGCUGCUGUCUCUUUGGAUUUGGGCCAUUUUUAAGAGGUGUAACACUCACUGUGAAGUUCUGUAGCUCCAUUCUUCAAGUUAGCGAGACCACGAACCUGCCGGAAGGAACCAACUCCGGACAUAGCAGAUCAAGAAGGCAGUCAGAAGUGGGAGGUACAUUUAUGCCAAUAAGAAGAUGAGUUGUGAUUUGGAAAACCGUGGGGCAGGAGAGGGCAUGCAGCAUCGUCAGUCAUUCCUGCCAGUCAGCACCCUGAUUGAUGACCUACAAAGCCGCAGCAGCCAGGAGAACACAGGAGCACGCUAGAACGUCCAAUCCAAAGGAAAAACAACCUAUACUGUAAAGUGAUCGUGCUCAUCUCAGUGUGUGACAAGGAAGACGAUGGCACCUGGUUCCAGGAGCCGAACGUUUCCACAUCCCUGUGAGGUAGCUGUCUUCUGCACAUUCUUUCUGGGGCAUCAGCAUCCCACUGUCCUCAGAGGCUUUGAAGUUAGUCUGGUACAGAGGACGUCACAUGUACAGCAACAGG